GGAGCACAUCGGUGCUGGUGUGCCGCCUGGACUUCAAAUCCAGUGGGCGGGUCUAAACAAUUCGUCGGUGGGUUCGACUCCCACGUGCUCCC
This 92-nucleotide transfer RNA is filed under the name marine eukaryotic metagenome. RNAcentral's name for it is "Selenocysteine transfer RNA". It matches the Rfam family "Selenocysteine transfer RNA". The record is from RNAcentral.